Molecule: transfer RNA, 71 nt
Filed under: Dipodomys ordii (Ord's kangaroo rat)
Lineage: Eukaryota; Metazoa; Chordata; Mammalia; Rodentia; Heteromyidae
Rfam family: tRNA
About the family: Transfer RNA (tRNA) molecules are approximately 80 nucleotides in length.
Source: Rfam by way of RNAcentral
GGGAAUGUGGCUUAGUGGUAGAGUACCUGCCUAGUAUGCAUGAAGCUUUGAGUUCAAUUCCUCGGUACCCA